RNAcentral lists this unclassified non-coding RNA (312 nucleotides) under fungal sp. Its description in RNAcentral is "partial internal transcribed spacer region". The stretch from base 1 to 46 matches the Rfam family "Eukaryotic small subunit ribosomal RNA", at positions 1786 to 1831 of the family's 1831-position model. The record is from RNAcentral. Lineage: Eukaryota; Fungi.
AAGUCGUAACAAGGUUUCCGUAGGUGAACCUGCGGAAGGAUCAUUAAAAGAUGGAAGGCCCCCGAAGGUCAUCUGAAAAGCCGUAAAGCAAAAGGCGCCCCCCCGGUUCCUGGGAGGCGCCGAACGGUGAACCCCUUGUGAAAACCUUUGUUGCUUCGGCAGCGCCUCCCCUUGCCUCACGGCGAGGGGGGGGGGUCAGCCUGCCGGCGGCACGUUUAAAAACCCCUUCAUGCAAAGCAGCAUUUUAAAACGUCUGAGAGCGCAGUCGAAUGACACUUAAAAAAACUUUCAACAACGGAUCUCUUGGUUCCC